Stegodyphus dumicola is the source of this 442-nucleotide long non-coding RNA. RefSeq lists it as uncharacterized. NCBI's taxonomy places the organism in Eukaryota, Metazoa, Arthropoda, Arachnida, Araneae, Eresidae. The record is from RefSeq and is a predicted model, not a curated record.
AGGAGUAAGCAUUCGUUUAAACAUUUCUACGAAAAUAUUCUACUAGUUCAAGGAGACGGAAGAGGAAAACCUCUGUUAUUUAUCAUGCAGGUCUUAAGCUGUAUUGCAUACGCAAUCGUGCUUACCGUUUACUUAGUCUACAUAGCUGAUGCUAACGUUGGAGUUUGGCCUGAUGAUGGUUAGAGAUGCAACAUGUGGUAUAGCCUUACUGGAGAUAAGACCGGUAUUAAUGGCUAUGAAUUUCACAAAAGUCCAACCCAGAUUAACAACCGUAUUUCAGAAGCUUCUAAAGAAUAUAUGUCUAAAGAAUAUAUAUUUGCUGCCUAGGAUUGUUGCAACGAGAUUUUAAGUACCUUUUCUUAAUAGGACUGCUUUAAUACAGUUCAGAUAUAGAUGGCGAAAUUGUAAAUUAUUAAAUAAUAAAUAAAAUCACUGAAACAUG